UAUGUAGGUCCCGAGCGUUGUCCGGAUUUAUUGGGCGUAAAGCGAGCGCAGGUGGUUUAUUAAGUCUGGUGUAAAAGGCAGUGGCUCAACCAUUGUAUGCAUUGGAAACUGGUAGACUUGAGUGCAGGAGAGGAGAGUGGAAUUCCAUGUGUAGCGGUGAAAUGCGUAGAUAUAUGGAGGAACACCGGUGGCGAAGGCGGCUCUCUGGCCUGUAACUGACACUGAGGCUCGAAAGCGUGGGGAGCAAACAGG
This 252-nucleotide ribosomal RNA is filed under the name uncultured bacterium. RNAcentral's name for it is "partial 16S ribosomal RNA". It matches the Rfam family "Bacterial small subunit ribosomal RNA", at positions 524 to 776 of the family's 1533-position model. The record is from RNAcentral.